AGUGAACGCUGGCGGUAGGCCUAACACAUGCAAGUCGAACGGCAGCACAGUAAGAGCUUGCUCUUACGGGUGGCGAGUGGCGGACGGGUGAGGAAUACAUCGGAAUCUACUUUUUCGUGGGGGAUAACGUAGGGAAACUUACGCUAAUACCGCAUACGUCCUACGGGUGAAAGCAGGGGAUCUUCGGACCUUGCGCGACUGAAUGAGCCGAUGUCGGAUUAGCUAGUUGGCGGGGUAAAGGCCCACCAAGGCGACGAUCCGCAGCUGGUCUGAGAGGAUGGUCGGCACACCUGGACCUGGGACCCGGUCCAGCCUCCUACGGGAGGAAGCAGUGGGGAUUAUUGGACAUUGGGCGAAAGCCUGAUCCAGCCAUCCCGCGUAGAUGAAGAAGGCUUUCGGGUUGUAAAGCCCUUUUGUUGGGAAAGAAAAGCAGCAGGUUAAUACCCCGCUGUUCUGACGGUACCCAAAGGAUAAGCACCGGCUACCUUCGU
This 491-nucleotide ribosomal RNA is filed under the name uncultured bacterium. Its description in RNAcentral is "partial 16S ribosomal RNA". It matches the Rfam family "Bacterial small subunit ribosomal RNA", at positions 29 to 506 of the family's 1533-position model. The record is from RNAcentral.